CGUUUCCGUCCCCUCUCUCCUCUCCCUCCCCUUUCCUCCUCGGGAAAAUUCUCUCUUAUUCCCGAGAAAAUUUCCGGAGAUUUGAUGGGAAAAUGAUCUUCACCGCCUCAUGAAUCGACGGGGAGAGUUUUCUGGAUUCUCCUCGGAAAUUAUCCGGAAGGGAGGGGAAGAGGGAGAGAGAACAAUAAUUCAAGCCGCGAGGACAUCGAGGUUUUGUUUGUUCUGAUUGAUUGAUGCGAAACUCUGACACGGUUCUGUCUUCUGAUAUCGGAAUUCCAACAUUUCCCCGGGAACUUCCGACAUAAUGGAUCCGGAAAUGUCCGGGGCAGGGUUUACGGUUGAGGAAUUCGACAUCGAUUUCGAGUACGACGCCCCUCGAUUCUAUGAUUUCUCCAGACCGGAAUCCGAUUCGGAGACCAAAGAAGCCGAGCUCUGGUUCGAACGUUCAGGAGAUUAUCCUCCUUCUCGUUUUAGCCUACUGUCCAACUGGAGGAACGAUUUCCUCGAGCAAUUUAUAAGCAACAACGGAGAUUAUAAAACGGGCGAGACUCGAAAUCCCAACAUCACAUCCUUGAAUGUCGGUUUGGAUCGUGAAGAUAAAUACAACGGGUUUAUAUAUUAUAACGAAACUGUUAGCGAUGUUCCGAGUACGAAGCCUAAGUCGAGAACUAAAUCAACUGUUUCGAGGGUUUCGACUUUGACAAAACCUACCGCUUCUUUGUUGGCAAGACAGAAUAAACCCUUAGACACUUACUCUACUCAACUCCUGAGAAGAUGUCAGAGGUCAUUAGGGAAGCUCAACGACAAGAUAUCGUCCCUCUUACAUCCUAGAUCCCGAAACCAAGACACCGAAAGACGGAAAAUGGAGGCGGGUUUCUUUUGCAAGGCAGGUUGUGUCAACUCCAACGGCGGCAGAGCCAAAGUCACGGUUCCAAGAGAACCGAACCUCCAAACAGCACAAAGGGCUCGAUCAAGACAUCGGUUUAAGCUUAAUUCAGAAGAACCCGAGCAGCAGAAUGCGAAAUUGAAUUCUGCUUCAUCUAAAAGUCAGCCUACGGAAAAAUACGCAUUUCACCAAAGGACAUCUCUCAAAGCCUCUCAACGCUCUCCUAAUACAUCAAUAAUCAUCGGCUUGCAGGCUAAAAGUGCAACCCCUGAUGACUCGACGAGGGAGAAUGAUACCACGCACUCGCAAAUGCUCAAGUCUCAUGAUCCCUCGACGGGUGGGAAGUUAAAAGGAAUUCGCAGCAUGAAAACAACCCCUAAAGCUUAUGGAUCUGAAAUCUGGCUUCUGGACUCAAAGACAUCAAACAAAGCAGUGGACAUGAAACAUGAGAACAGUUUCCCAAAGUUCAUCCAAGGAGUUCGAAGAUCAACCAGACAGGGGCUUUUGAGAUGAAACCAACCCUGCAAUAGAAUGAGAAACCCUAUUUCCCCAAAAAGAAAAAUUGCUCUCAAAGGAAUAUAUACCUCAUUGCACAGAAAUGGCGAUGAAGAGAUCAUAUUGGAGAGUUUCCACGGGGAAUCAAAGCUCUUGCGGAACUGACAGGAAAUAUCUCCCUCGAUGUUAAAAGACAAGACUUCGUGAUUCUUUGAAACGUCCAAAGAGAUGUCGAGUUUGUAUAUAUCGGUGAAAUGGACCCAACCCAUAUAAUAGCAUCAAAUUGUCUAAAUUAUGUAUAUAUAUUACGUCAUGUAACCAAAUGAAGUGUAUAUAUAUAUGUGUUUGUGUGGAAUGAAUGAUACAUAUCUUGAAUAAAUUCUAAAAAUAUAAUUUUGAUGGCUGAGAUAGAAAUCACGGAUCUAAGCUAAAGAGUUAGAAUGAUAUAUUUUGAAUCAUACAAUUCUAAACGUGUAAUAGUUUAGUAU
Molecule: RNA transcript, 1869 nt
Organism: Tarenaya hassleriana
Lineage: Eukaryota; Viridiplantae; Streptophyta; Magnoliopsida; Brassicales; Cleomaceae
Exons: 12
Source: RefSeq, a predicted model, not a curated record